AUUGAACGCUGGCGGCAUGCUUUACACAUGCAAGUCGAACGGUAACAGGCCGCAAGGUGCUGACGAGUGGCGAACGGAUGAGUAAUGCAUCGGAACGUGCCCAGCCGUGGGGGAUAACUACUCGUAAGAGUAGCUAAUACCGCAUACGAUCUAUGGUUGAAAUCGGGGGACCGUAAGGCCUCGCGCGGUUGGAGCGGCCGGUGUCAGAUUAGGUAGUGGUUGGGGUAAAGGCUCACCAAGCCAACGAUCUGUACCUGUUCUGAGAGGGCGAGCAGCCACACUGGGACUGAGACACGGCCCAGACUCCUACGGGAGGCAGCAGUGGGGAAUUUUGGACAAUGGGCGCAAGCCUGAUCCAGCAAUGCCGCGUGCAGGAAGAAGGCCUUCGGGUUGUGAACUGCUUUUGUACGGAACGAAACGGCUCUGGUUAAUACCCGGGGCUAAUGACGGUACCGUAAGAAUAAGCACCGGCUAACUACGUG
RNAcentral lists this ribosomal RNA (482 nucleotides) under uncultured bacterium. Its description in RNAcentral is "partial 16S ribosomal RNA". It matches the Rfam family "Bacterial small subunit ribosomal RNA", at positions 30 to 507 of the family's 1533-position model. The record is from RNAcentral.